ACUCAAAUGAAUUGACGGGGACCCGCACAAGCAGCGGAGCGUGUGGUUUAAUUCGAUGCUACACGAAGAACCUCACCCAGGUUUGACAUACUAGUAGUAAUGAACCGAAAGGGGAAUGACCCGCAAGGGAGCUAGUACAGGUGUUGCAUGGCUGUCGUCAGCUCGUGUCGUGAGAUGUUCGUUUAAGUACGCUAACGAGCGCAACCCUUACUGCCAGUUACAAGUGUCUGGCGGGACUGCCGGCCACAAGCCGGAGGAAGGCGGGGAUGAUGUCAAGUCAGCAUGGCCUUUAUAUCUGGGGCUACACACACGCUACAAUGGGACGGUACAAUGGGUCGCCAAGCCGCGAGGCGGAGCCAAUCUCCAAAACGUCCCUCAGUUCAGAUUGCAGGCUGCAACCCGCCUGCAUGAAGUCGGAGUUGCUAGUAAAUGCGCGUCAGCUAUAGCGCAUUGAAUACGUUCCCGGGUCUUGUACACACCGCCCGU
RNAcentral lists this ribosomal RNA (486 nucleotides) under uncultured bacterium. RNAcentral's name for it is "partial 16S ribosomal RNA". It matches the Rfam family "Bacterial small subunit ribosomal RNA", at positions 899 to 1397 of the family's 1533-position model. The record is from RNAcentral.